Molecule: long non-coding RNA, 1622 nt
Organism: Pan troglodytes (chimpanzee)
Lineage: Eukaryota; Metazoa; Chordata; Mammalia; Primates; Hominidae
Exons: 5
Source: RefSeq, a predicted model, not a curated record
GUUUUCUAGGUUGUUAAUUUUUAAUUUCACUUUGCAGAAUAAAAUCAUCCAAGUAUAUACAUAUUCUGUCAUUUUAUUCAUUCCAAGAUGACCAGAAAAACAUUUAUCCUCAUAAAAGUCAAAUGUGAAAUUAAUUCCUUUGAAUUCAGCAUUUCUUGAACACCUACUCUGAACCAGGUGGUGUGCUUGACAAGGGCUAACUACAAAAAAAAGAGGAAAGGCCCACAGUCUAGGAAGUUCUUUUACACGCCCAAAAAUACUGUUAAGUUCCUACAUGUUACUGGAGGAAAUGGACUCAGAGAGUUGAAAGCUACUUAUUAAAAGCGGUUGGACCUUUUACCUAAAUAUCAUUUUUUACUAAUAUUAAUAUUUUUAAAAUUGAAACUAAAUGUUAUUAAAAAGGAUCUUCUCAGCCAGACAUGGUAGCACAUGCCUAUAGUCCCAGCUAUUUGAGAGGCUGAGGCAGAAUGAUCACUUGAGCCCAGGAGUUCAAGGCCAACCUGAGCAACAUAGCAAGACUCUUUUAAAAAAAUAAUAACAUAAAUAUAUCAUCUAAAUUACAUAAGGAAAAAGAUUGUAAGUAAAAAAUUGCUUAUAGUGAUUGUCUUUAUGUGAAAAAAUUUUGGAUCUUUUUCACCUCUCCAGGUUUCUUUGUAAUGAUUUAUAUUUAUUUAUAAUACCAGUAACCAAUUUAUUUUGAAAGUAAUGCUCCUGAUUUAAGUAAGAAUCAGUCCUUGAAAUUUUUCUAAAGUUGCCUUAUUUAAACUGGCACCUACUGGAUUUUUAAAAGGUAAAUUACAGUUUUAAUAUACUAUUUAAAGUUGGAUAUAAUUAAAAGUAUAAUUAGUAUUAUCUAACACAGAUUUCAAAAAAUGCAUCAUACAUGUGCUCCUUUUUUCAAAGUGAAUCUGACCACUUUACUGAUAUGGUUCUCUAGUCUUUAAGACACUUCAAAAUGGAGCCCCAAGUAUGUUGAAGUGGGAACUGGGGGGACUUUACUCUUUUGUAGUACUCUUAAAUUGCUAAAGAUUAAACUUGCUCAUGUGGAUACUAUGUGGAGUCAUAACGUAUCUUUACUUUGUGAUUUUAGUAUUUAUGGGACCUGAAGAAUUACUUGUUCUCUGGUGAGAUUUUUCAGAUAUGACACAGAAAAGCAGGGAGAAACUGGUUCUCUGUUCAUGGAAACUGAAGUUUGUAAGAGUUUAAGGCCAAACGUAAGAGGUCAUACUCCCUGUCACAAACUCCAGCUGAACUAACUUGGAGGAGGAUCUUCCCUGACAGCUCUGGAAGGAAAUUGACAGAACUUUCGUAAAGCCAAAGACUGGCAGAAAUAAAGUAAAUAAUGAUGAAACUGAGCAAUAGAGCACCCAGAAGGAGUGUCCCCUGCCAAAAAGAAUGUGGCAUUUCACCCUCCAAGAAACAAAUGGACACCUUAUCCCACAGAAUAAUGGGGCUCACAUGUCACCGUCACUCACUUCUUUAUCCUUUCGCCAAAGGAAGCCACUUCAUCUAGGAUGUUCUGGACACUGACACAUACCUCCUGGAUGGCAUAGAUUUUAUUUAUAAAUCCCUUUUUUUCACUGUCCUAAAAUGCAAUAAAAAAGAAAUUCUGUAUAAGUAAA